RNAcentral lists this RNase P RNA (483 nucleotides) under Omnitrophica bacterium RIFCSPLOWO2_01_FULL_50_24. RNAcentral describes it as "RNase P RNA component class A". It matches the Rfam family "Bacterial RNase P class A". Rfam says of the family: Ribonuclease P (RNase P) is a ubiquitous endoribonuclease, found in archaea, bacteria and eukarya as well as chloroplasts and mitochondria. Its best characterised activity is the generation of mature 5'-ends of tRNAs by cleaving the 5'-leader elements of precursor-tRNAs. The record is from RNAcentral. Lineage: Bacteria; Pseudomonadati; Candidatus Omnitrophota.
GGAACUGAGAGAUGAUCGCUUGCGCCGAAUAUCGCGGCGCAGGAGGAAAGUCCGAGCUCCAUAAGGCAGGGUGCUCCGUAAUUCGGAGGAUUGCUUUCCAUAAGGGAGGCAAGACGGAAAGUGCCACAGAGAAGAGACAUCCUCCGCCACUUUUGUGAAUGGUACAAGGUAGGAACCUUACCAUGGCGGAGGAUCAGGUGAAACGGCGGUGUAAAAGACCACCGGUCCAAAGGCAACGGCGGACGCUUGGCAAACCCCACUUGGAGAAAGACCGAAUAAAAGAUGAAUGGCUCGCCUCGAAAAUCAUCGAGCCAGGGAGCCGCCUGCUCCCUUCCGUCAGUAGUGUGACGGGCAAGUCUUGGGUUGGUCGCGGGAGAUUCUGUGAGAGCGGAAUCCUAGACAGAUGAUCAUCAUUCUUUGCCGUUCUGGGUUUUAGGACCCGGCGGCGGAGAAUACAGAACUCGGCUUAACUCGGUUCUGCCG